UGGAGGGCAAGUCUGGUGCCAGCAGCCGCGGUAAUUCCAGCUCCAAUAGCGUAUAUUAAAGUUGUUGCAGUUAAAAAGCUCGUAGUUGAAUUUCGGGAUCAAUAUGUCGGUCGUGCCUUCGGUACGUACUGGUAUCAUUGGUCUCUCCUUUCUGACGAACCAUGAUGUCAUUAAUUUGGUGUUAUGGGGAGUUAGGACUGUUACUUUGAAAAAAUUAGAGUGUUUAAAGCAGGCUUUAGCUUGAAUACAUUAGCAUGGAAUAAUGGAAUAGGACGUUCGAACCUAUUUUGUUGGUUUCUAGGAUCAACGUAAUGAUUAAUAGGGAUAGUUGGGGGCGUUAGUAUUCAAUUGUCAGAGGUGAAAUUCUUGGAUUUAUUGAAGACUAACUACUGCGAAAGCAUUUGCCAAGGAUGUUUUCAUUAAUCAAGAACGAAAGUUAGGGGAUCGAAGACGAUCAGAUACCGUCGUAGUCUUAACCAUAAACUAUGCCGACUAGGGAUCGGAUGAUGUUAAUUUUUUAAUGACUCAUUCGGCGCCUUACGGGAAAC
RNAcentral lists this ribosomal RNA (548 nucleotides) under uncultured Glomus. RNAcentral's name for it is "SSU rRNA". It matches the Rfam family "Eukaryotic small subunit ribosomal RNA", at positions 549 to 1098 of the family's 1831-position model. Lineage: Eukaryota; Fungi; Glomeromycota; Glomeromycetes; Glomerales; Glomeraceae. The record is from RNAcentral.